This 483-nucleotide unclassified non-coding RNA is filed under the name Hevea brasiliensis (rubber tree). The record is from RNAcentral. Lineage: Eukaryota; Viridiplantae; Streptophyta; Magnoliopsida; Malpighiales; Euphorbiaceae.
GCACAUCCAGACAGUAAUGUUUAUAGUUUUGGUGUGAUAUUAUUUGAAAUGAUAACAGGAAGGAUACCUUACUCAGUGGACAAUGGCACACUUGAAGACUGGGCAUCAGACUAUUUGAGAGGGGAUCAAUCCCUGAAAGACAUGGUUGAUCCGACGCUAGACUCCUUUGAAGAGGAAAAGGUGGAAAGAAUUGGUGAAGUGAUAAAAUCUUGUGCCCAUCCGGAUCCAGAGCAAAGACCAGCAAUGAGAGAAGUUACUGCAAGAUUAAGAGAGAUAACAGGAAUAACACUGGAUGCAGCAACCCCAAAACUUUCUCCUUUAUGGUGGGCAGAGCUUGAAAUUUCAUCACCGGAUGCUAGCUAAAAGAGAGACCAGACUGUAAGUAUGAGCUCAAGUGCCGUCGGCCAUUAGUGAGACGUAAAAAAGCAGUUGUUUAUAAGUUUAUACCCCUGUAUCUGAGAGUUGCUUGUAUAUAACUUAGGA